AGGACGAACGCUGGCGGCGUGCUUAACACAUGCAAGUCGAGCGAGGCCCUUCCUUCGGGAAGGUGCCCUGGCGGCGAACGGGUGAGUAACACGUGGGCAACCUGCCCCUAGCACUGGGAUAACUCCGGGAAACCGGGGCUAAUACCGGAUAUGACCUCUGAGGGCAUCCUCGAAGGUGUAAAGGAUUCUGGCUAGGGAUGGGCCCGCGGCCUAUCAGCUUGUUGGUGGGGUAACGGCCUACCAAGGCGACG
Molecule: ribosomal RNA, 251 nt
Filed under: uncultured bacterium
Lineage: Bacteria
Description: partial small subunit ribosomal RNA
Rfam family: Bacterial small subunit ribosomal RNA
Source: RNAcentral